This 393-nucleotide ribosomal RNA is filed under the name Gammaproteobacteria bacterium. RNAcentral's name for it is "bacterial SSU rRNA". It matches the Rfam family "Bacterial small subunit ribosomal RNA", at positions 1 to 376 of the family's 1533-position model. The record is from RNAcentral. Lineage: Bacteria; Pseudomonadati; Pseudomonadota; Gammaproteobacteria.
UAAUAUGAAGAGUUUGAUCCUGGCUCAGAUUGAACGCUGGCGGCAUGCCUAACACAUGCAAGUCGAACGGUAACAGAUAAGAUGAUCUCUUCGGAGUGAAUCUUUGCUGACGAGUGGCGGACGGGUGAGUAAUGCUUGGGAAUCUGCCCAAUAGUGGGGGAAAACUCGGGGAAACCCGGGCUAAUACCGCAUAAUCUCUACGGAGGAAAGAGGGCCUCUACAUGUAAGCUCUCGCUAAUGGAUGAGCCCAAGUCAGAUUAGCUAGUUGGUAAGGUAAUGGCUUACCAAGGCUACGAUCUGUAGCUGGUCUGAGAGGAUGAUCAGCCACACUGGGACUGAGACACGGCCCAGACUCCUACGGGAGGCAGCAGUGGGGAAUAUUGCACAAUGGGC